Molecule: ribosomal RNA, 253 nt
Filed under: uncultured bacterium
Lineage: Bacteria
Description: partial 16S ribosomal RNA
Rfam family: Bacterial small subunit ribosomal RNA
Source: RNAcentral
UACGUAGGGCGCAAGCGUUGUCCGGAAUUAUUGGGCGUAAAGAGCUCGUAGGCGGUUUGUCGCGUCUGCUGUGAAAACCUAAGGCUCAACCUUGGGCUUGCAGUGGGUACGGGCAGACUAGAGUGCGGUAGGGGUGACUGGAAUUCCUGGUGUAGCGGUGGAAUGCGCAGGUAUCAGGAGGAACACCGAUGGCGAAGGCAGGUCACUGGGCCGCAACUGACGCUGAGGAGCGAAAGCAUGGGGAGCGAACAGG